Long non-coding RNA from Syngnathoides biaculeatus (alligator pipefish), 1009 nucleotides. RefSeq lists it as uncharacterized. The record is from RefSeq and is a predicted model, not a curated record. Lineage: Eukaryota; Metazoa; Chordata; Actinopteri; Syngnathiformes; Syngnathidae. The transcript is spliced from 3 exons.
CAAAUGUUUACUAUUCAAAAGUUGGCCUGGCCAACCCGCGGCUCUUCAGGAGCUUUCACAUGACAUGCGUCAAAAAUGCUUGGCUGGUGCUUGUCAUUCACUCCCCCGACAGCUAGAUGGCACACUGACCAUGUAAGCCUGUUUGAGUGACGUCAAACGAGCGACGAGAGAAUCUUUGUGUUGUAAACAAUUUCCGUCAAGUUACCUCUUGAAAUGGCAGGGAAAAAAAAAAAAAAAUCACAGCCAAACGAAAAUAUGAAGAAGAACACAGGACGUUUUUGCUAGAGUGGGAGAGUUUAUAUUUUCUUUGUUGAACGUAAAGGCAAGCCGAUCUGCCUUAUAUGUCACGCAGCAUUAGCGCAUUUCAAAGCUUCAAAUCUUCAGCGCCACUUCAACUCACUCCACCCUAACAUCGAACAGGAAUUUCCAAAAGGGACUGAACUUCGAAAGAACGAGUUGGUCGCUUUGAAAAGCCAGGCAGAAGAGCAGGUGCAGUUUUUCCAAAAAUUUACGAAACACUCCGAGACCGUAACGCUUGCAUCAUAUCAGGUAGCUUGGAACAUACAACGAAAAUGCCUCAUUGACGCCUUUGAAAUCUUGGCUCCUGGAGGCGACAAACUAAAACGGAGCAUAUCAGACGUUCAACUGUCCCGCCACGGUGUUGAACGCAGAAUAUCGGAUAUUAAUACAUCUGUUAAAUCACAGUUGCACUAGGACCUUCAAGCAUGCUAGUUGGUGGAGUUCGAUUCGUACCCUUUCCAAAACCGAAGACCCAGUACGAAAAAUGCCUUCGAUGGAUCAAACUUUUUGGAAGACCGCAUCAUCAACUAAAUCCAUCUAAUAUCAACCGGAACACAUGUUUGCACGAAGCGCACGUGACGUGACGUCACUUCAGGAGGCGUGGUUAAAUGCCCUGUACGGAGGGGUCAAUUGAGACAACGUCAUGAAGCCUGCGAUGGAAAUCGUCAACUACAUCCGCACACAUGCGCUUAACCACAGGCAAUUCAGG